UCCGAUAUAGUCCAUCGGCUAGGAUAUCUCGCUUUCAACGCCUCUAGAGAGCACCGAGAAGAGCCGGGUUCGAUUCCCGGUAUCGGAA
Molecule: non-coding RNA, 88 nt
Organism: Alternaria incomplexa
Lineage: Eukaryota; Fungi; Ascomycota; Dothideomycetes; Pleosporales; Pleosporaceae
Source: the annotation of a RefSeq genome assembly